Molecule: ribosomal RNA, 454 nt
Filed under: uncultured bacterium
Lineage: Bacteria
Description: partial 16S ribosomal RNA
Rfam family: Bacterial small subunit ribosomal RNA
Source: RNAcentral
GAUGAACGCUGACAGAAUGCUUAACACAUGCAAGUCAACUUGAACUUCGGUUUGGGUGGCGGACGGGUGAGUAACGCGUAAAGAACUUGCCUCACAGAUAGGGACAACAUUUGGAAACGAAUGCUAAUACCUGAUAUUAUGAUUUUAGGGCAUCCUAGGAUUAUGAAAGCUAUAUGCGCUGUGAGAGAGCUUUGCGUCCCAUUAGCUAGUUGGAGAGGUAACGGCUCACCAAGGCGAUGAUGGGUAGCCGGCCUGAGAGGGUGAUCGGCCACAAGGGGACUGAGACACGGCCCUUACUCCCUCCGGAGGCAAGAGUGGGGAAUAAUGGGCAAAGGACCAAGGAUCUGAUCCAGCAAUUCUGUGUGGACGAUGAAGUUUUUCGGAAUGUAAAGUUCUUUCAGUUGGGGAGAAAAAAAUGACGGUACCAACAGAAGAAGUGACGGCUAAAUACGUG